This 425-nucleotide ribosomal RNA is filed under the name uncultured bacterium. RNAcentral describes it as "partial 16S ribosomal RNA". It matches the Rfam family "Bacterial small subunit ribosomal RNA", at positions 354 to 796 of the family's 1533-position model. The record is from RNAcentral.
GUGGGGAAUAUUGCACAAUGGGGGAAACCCUGAUGCAGCGACGCCGCGUGGAGGAAGAAGGUCUUCGGAUUGUAAACUCCUGUUGUUGAGGAAGAUAAUGACGGUACUCAACAAGGAAGUGACGGCUAACUACGUGCCAGCAGCCGCGGUAAAACGUAGGUCACAAGCGUUGUCCGGAAUUACUGGGUGUAAAGGGAGCGCAGGCGGGAGAACAAGUUGGAAGUGAAAUCCAUGGGCUCAACCCAUGAACUGCUUUCAAAACUGUUUUUCUUGAGUAGUGCAGAGGUAGGCGGAAUUCCCGGUGUAGCGGUGGAAUGCGUAGAUAUCGGGAGGAACACCAGUGGCGAAGGCGGCCUACUGGGCACCAACUGACGCUGAGGCUCGAAAGUGUGGGUAGCAAACAGGAUUAGAAACCCCGGUAGUCC